UACAGAGGUCUCAAGCGUUGUUCGGAUUCAUUGGGCGUAAAGGGUGCGUAGGUGGCGGGGUAAGUCAGGGGUGAAAUCUCGAGGCUCAACCUCGAAACUGCACUUGAUACUGCCUUGCUCGAGUACUGGAGAGGAGAUUGGAAUUUACGGUGUAGCAGUGAAAUGCGUAGAUAUCGUAAGGAAGACCAGUGGCGAAGGCGAAUCUCUGGACAGUUACUGACACUGAGGCACGAAGGCCAGGGGAGCAAACGGG
Molecule: ribosomal RNA, 253 nt
Filed under: uncultured bacterium
Lineage: Bacteria
Description: partial 16S ribosomal RNA
Rfam family: Bacterial small subunit ribosomal RNA
Source: RNAcentral